This 497-nucleotide ribosomal RNA is filed under the name uncultured bacterium. Its description in RNAcentral is "partial 16S ribosomal RNA". It matches the Rfam family "Bacterial small subunit ribosomal RNA", at positions 28 to 507 of the family's 1533-position model. The record is from RNAcentral.
GAUGAACGCUGGCGGCGUGCCUAAUACAUGCAAGUCGAGCGAACGGACGAGAAGCUUGCUUCUCUGAUGUUAGCGGCGGACGGGUGAGUAACACGUGGAUAACCUACCUAUAAGGCUGGGAUAACUUCGGGAAACCGGAGCUAAUACCGGAUGAUAUUUUGAACCGCAUGGUUCAAAAGUGAAAGACGGUCUUGCUGUCACUUAUAGAUGGAUCCGCGCUGCAUUAGCUAGUUGGUAAGGUAACGGCUUACCAAGGCAACGAUGCAUAGCCGACCUGAGAGGGUGAUCGGCCACACUGGAACUGAGACACGGUCCAGACUCCUACGGGAGGCAGCAGUAGGGAAUCUUCCGCAAUGGGCGAAAGCCUGACGGAGCAACGCCGCGUGAGUGAUGAAGGUAUUCGGAUCGUAAAACUCUGUUAUUAGGGAAGAACAUAUGUGUAAGUAACUGUGCACAUCUUGACGGUACCUAAUCAGAAAGCCACGGCUAACUACGUG